RNAcentral lists this ribosomal RNA (494 nucleotides) under uncultured bacterium. RNAcentral's name for it is "partial 16S ribosomal RNA". It matches the Rfam family "Bacterial small subunit ribosomal RNA", at positions 28 to 507 of the family's 1533-position model. The record is from RNAcentral.
GACGAACGCUGGCGGCGUGCUUAACACAUGCAAGUCGAACGGUGAAGCGCCUUCCUUUUUGGUGGGUGUGGAUGAGUGGCGAACGGGUGAGUAACACGUGAGUAACCUGCCCCCUUCUUCUGGAUAACCGCAUGAAAGUGUGGCUAAUACGGGAUAUUCUGGGUCUGUCGCAUGAUGGGUCUGGGAAAGAUAUUGUUUCGGUGGGGGAUGGGCUCGCGGCCUAUCAGCUUGUUGGUGGGGUGAUGGCCUACCAAGGCGGUGACGGGUAGCCGGCCUGAGAGGGUGGACGGUCACACUGGGACUGAGACACGGCCCAGACUCCUACGGGAGGCAGCAGUGGGGAAUAUUGCACAAUGGGGGAAAGCCUGAUGCAGCGACGCCGCGUGAGGGAUGGAGGCCUUCGGGUUGUGAACCUCUUUCGCCAGUGAAGCAGGCCUGCCUCGUUUGUGGGUGGGUUGACGGUAGCUGGAUAAGAAGCGCCGGCUAACUACGUG